AGAAUGCUCCUACACCCACUGCAUACAAGUUGGCUCUGCAUAGCUGCUACAGCAAGUGGAGAGAAAAAAUCAAGAGCUUGUCAAGAGUGAACUUGCUAACGAGGAACAGAAUCUAUCUUCUCCAGAUCCUCCUCGCGACCACCGAUUUUCUACAGAAACAAUCACGUAGAAGCCCCAGGAAGGAAAUCUGAAAAUGGUGGAGGAGAGAACGAAUAAAGGGUUAGUUAUGAAGAAGACGAUCGAAGAGGCGUAGCUAUGGAGGAGGCCGGCUUAAGCGGAUGAGGAUGGAAGCGAGAACUGCGGUU
Molecule: unclassified non-coding RNA, 305 nt
Filed under: Hevea brasiliensis (rubber tree)
Lineage: Eukaryota; Viridiplantae; Streptophyta; Magnoliopsida; Malpighiales; Euphorbiaceae
Source: RNAcentral